Molecule: transfer RNA, 70 nt
Filed under: Pseudanthias dispar (peach fairy basslet)
Lineage: Eukaryota; Metazoa; Chordata; Actinopteri; Perciformes; Anthiadidae
Also listed under: 1 other name
Description: tRNA-Met
Source: RNAcentral
AGUAAAGUCAGCUAAAGUAAGCUCUGGGGCCCAUACCCCCAUCAUGUUGGUUAAAAUCCUUCCUCUACUA